This 253-nucleotide ribosomal RNA is filed under the name uncultured bacterium. RNAcentral describes it as "partial 16S ribosomal RNA". It matches the Rfam family "Bacterial small subunit ribosomal RNA", at positions 524 to 776 of the family's 1533-position model. The record is from RNAcentral.
UACAGAGGGUGCGAGCGUUAAUCGGAUUUACUGGGCGUAAAGGGCGCGUAGGUGGUUAUUUAAGUGAGAUGUGAAAGCCCCGGGCUCAACCUGGGAACUGCAUCUUAUACUGGGUAACUGGAGUACAUGAGAGGGUAGUGGAAUUUCCGGUGUAGCGGUGAAAUGCGUAGAUAUCGGAAGGAACACCAGUGGCGAAGGCGGCUACCUGGCAUGAUACUGACACUGAGGCGCGAGAGCGUGGGGAGCAAACAGG